RNAcentral lists this transfer RNA (74 nucleotides) under Edaphobacter modestus. It matches the Rfam family "tRNA". Rfam says of the family: Transfer RNA (tRNA) molecules are approximately 80 nucleotides in length. Lineage: Bacteria; Pseudomonadati; Acidobacteriota; Terriglobia; Terriglobales; Acidobacteriaceae. RNAcentral also lists the same sequence under 2 other names. The record is from Rfam by way of RNAcentral.
CGGGGCGUAGCGCAGCCUGGUAGCGCACCUGCUUCGGGAGCAGGGGGUCGGAGGUUCGAAUCCUCUCGCCCCGA